RNAcentral lists this ribosomal RNA (385 nucleotides) under uncultured bacterium. RNAcentral's name for it is "bacterial SSU rRNA". It matches the Rfam family "Bacterial small subunit ribosomal RNA", at positions 32 to 429 of the family's 1533-position model. The record is from RNAcentral.
AAUCAACGUUGGCGGCGCGCUUAACACAUGCAAGUCAAACGAGAAAGUGGAGCAAUCCAUGAGUAAAGUGGCGUACGGGUGAGUAACACGUGGGUAUCCAUUCUUUGGUGGGGAAUAACUCUGGGAAACCGGAGCUAAUACCGCAUAAGUCCGAGAGGAGAAAGGUGAAAAUCGCCGAAGAGGGAGCCCGCGGCUGAUUAGCUAGUUGGUGAGGUAACGGCCCACCAAGGCGAAGANCGGUAGCCGGCCUGAGAGGGCACACGGCCACACUGGCACUGAGACACGGGCCAGACUCCUACGGGAGGCAGCAGUGGGGAAUCUUGCACAAUGGGGGAAACCCUGAUGCAGCGACGCCGCGUGAACGAUGAAGCCCUUCGGGUGUAAG